GCGGCGGCGGCGGCGGCGGCGGCGGCGGCCGCGGGGGAGGGGUACGGCGUCAGCGCGUCGCCGGCUGGGCCGCGCCGGUGGCCAGGAGGGAGAGACUAGGAGGAGGAGGAGGAGGAGGUGACACUGAUGAUAAAAACCCGUUCAAGAAUUUAGAUGUGACAUCUGCAGCAGGUUCAGAUCUCUCAGCUAAAAGACAGACUGGAUACUUCGUAAAGAUUUUCAUCUGUUGUGCACAGAGAGCCAAAAUCCGUUACUGAAAUAGACUGUCUGGGUGAACUGCCUGCUGGGUCCAGUGAUGCACUAGUAGACAAAGAAGUUGAAAAAGAAGGCUGGCAUAUUCUUUGGAUAACUGGCUGAGUGUGACACCAAUAUGGCAUCAAGCCCUACUAUGAUUCCAAGGACUUCAUGAUUAAAUAACUGAUUUUUUUGGGUGGAAGUAGGGGUGGAUGAAGUAAAUUUGAUCUUUACUUGGGGAAUGUAUAAUGUAUUACCAUCCCAUAAUGAUGUAUGAUAAUUGGCUUUGGUCAUCAAACUUUAGAGAUCCUGUCUAUUUAUGGGACUUAAUAUAGUUAACACCUUUUAGUAUUGAACUUUCUGACACUAAGGGAAAUGCUAUAAAGAGAAAUAUCUGCUUAACCUAAAAUAGUUUACCUAAAAAGUUUAAUAUAAGGACUGUGAUUUUUCUUUGGGGGAUUUUUGAAAUUUUGCUCCUCCCUAGAGUAUUUAAAUUAUAUUUCUAUUUGCAGAAAGGCUACUGUACCUAGAGUUUUUUAGGAAAAUAUCCUUUUGUGUAGGAUCUUGAACUGGAUAGUGAGUAGAUAAUCAUACUGUACAGUGUUAAUGUGCAUACAACAGUUAAUAAAUUUAUAACUACAAAUUAAUAAGAGCUAUUAAUAAAUUAAUAUCCAGAUCUGUUAACUAAAAUCAUUUAAAAUGAUUUAAUGAGCAGAUGUGAACUGGAAAUAAACCUGUGUAUUUUCUAGAACUGUUGAAUCAAAGGAAAACUGGAACAUCAGAAUAUUCUCUGAACCAAAUCAAUAUUUUAUUUGAUCAGAGUCCCUGCUUUGGUAUACAUCUAUUUAUACUGGUUACAGAGGAUUUGAAAGCAGUGCAGGGAAAUGAGUUGGGUAGAUUCAAAGUUGAAUCCCAUUUUUUUCCUCCGUGAAUAUCCAAUAUUUUUUUUCAUCUAGCAUUCAACAAAAACUCUAGCAGCCCAGGAUACAAAACAGAUUACAUUUUAUAUAGUUCAUACAGCUCAUCCACAAACAGAAAAAGAUUUCCUUAUGACUUACCUUGAAAUCUUUAUUUAAGGUCUGUACUAUUCAGUUUGCCAGUGUGCCACUGCUACUAUUGCAUGUUUUUGGUCAGAGUGAAGUGCAGCUAACAUACACCCAUUCCGCUAGGAAAAAGAUCUGCAGGUUGCUGAACAGUGGAAGUUACACACAGCUAAUUUACAAGUCAGAUUAGCGAUCAGAGUUAUUCGAUAGCGUUAUGUGGAAUUGAUUUCAUUUCAUGGUUUUUAAGCUAUUUUUUCACUGAGGCAAUGCCUGUAACAGAGACAGGUGUGUUGUAGCAUUUGAAUGCCUUAAACUCUUGAAUCUGGAAUGAAAGGGAGGUUCUUAUAGAUGUUCAGAUCCUAAAACUCAGGGAUUUUGAAGUAAAAUGCCCUGUCAUUCAUUUAUUGUGCUGUAAUUGAACUGCCUUGCAGAUUUUAUUUGGGAAUAUUAUGAUUAAUAUUUGGAAAACUUUCCUAUUUUCAAAUAUAGUCUUUAGGAAAGC
This 1779-nucleotide long non-coding RNA is filed under the name Sus scrofa (pig). RNAcentral's name for it is "lncRNA (ENSSSCG00000060173.1)". The record is from RNAcentral. Lineage: Eukaryota; Metazoa; Chordata; Mammalia; Artiodactyla; Suidae.